This 284-nucleotide ribosomal RNA is filed under the name Verrucaria sp. A. Orange 17054. RNAcentral's name for it is "partial 18S small subunit ribosomal RNA". The record is from RNAcentral. Lineage: Eukaryota; Fungi; Ascomycota; Eurotiomycetes; Verrucariales; Verrucariaceae.
GGAAGUAAAAGUCGUAACAAGGUUUCGUCCCAGAUUCUUCUCGGAAGCCUUCACACACCGACUAUAACCACGUGUGGAGUCUCGACUCGGUUGAGUCUAGGCGACGCCCCCCCUGUGCUGGAACGUUGCAUACCCUGCAGCGAACCUGCAGCCAGAUUUUUCUGGUCCACAGAUUAGGAGGUGGCGGUCCCAAUCCACCGUUGGGAUCAAGAUAUAAUCGGUCCCCAUCGCUUGGCAAGAUGGUGGAAGAACGUUCCGUAGGUGAACCUGCGGAAGGAUCAUUA